UUAAGAGUUUAUCUGAAUUAGUUCCCGAUUUAUACGAGUUACUAGAAGUUGAACAAUAUUUUCUGUAUAUUCUACGAUGAAUAAAAUGACGUGGAAAUCGCUUCUGUUCUCUUGUAUCCUUUUUUUGGGAGCAAUAAAUGCAGUCCUCUGUAGUAGCUUCAUUGAAUGUCCGGACGUUUCGAAAGCGAAUGUGUUGACACUGGACCUCGAAAAGCACAAAAGUGCGACUGUUGGAAGUACCACUCUUGAUUUCCGACUUCCUGAAAGUGGUUUGUUCCAUCAGCCAAUUAGUUGUAUUGUGCUUUCUAAUGGUGUAUACAGGACUUUCAUGAGUGUGUGCCCAAAUGCAACUGCAAUGAUCAAGAACUGACCUUAGUGGGGAAAAUACAAUAUUUCAGACAUUCUAUAUUUGAGAAGUCCUUGGAAGUACGACAAACAAACCCUAGCAUUUUCGUUGCCUUAAUUAUUAUAUGUUCAUAUUGCAGA
Molecule: long non-coding RNA, 486 nt
Organism: Leptinotarsa decemlineata (Colorado potato beetle)
Lineage: Eukaryota; Metazoa; Arthropoda; Insecta; Coleoptera; Chrysomelidae
Source: RefSeq, a predicted model, not a curated record